GCGAAGAAUCUGAAAAAGAAUGGAUGUAUGUACCUAUAUAACUGAAUCACUUGGUACAGCAGAAAUGAUCACAACCUUGUACAUCAACUAUACUUCAAUGAAACUUUAAAAAAUAGAAAAAAUCAUGACAUAACAUUAUCAUUCAUCAAAAUCCAUCAUUUACAUUAGGGUUCACUCCUGACAGUGUACAUUCUGUGGGUUUUAACAAACGUAAAAUGACACCUACCCACAUUGUCAUACAGAAUCAUUUUACUGCCCUAAAAAUCCUCUGUGCUCUGCCCCUUUAACCCUCUCUCCUCCUCAGUGUCUGACCCCUAUAGAUCUUUUCACUGUCUCCAUGGCUUUGCUUUUCACUCAAUGGCAUGUAGUGGGGAUAAUGUGGUAGGUAGCAUUUUCAGACUGCUGUGUUUUACUUAGUGAUAUGCAUUUAAGGCUUCUCCAUGUCUUUCUGCAGCUGGAUAGCUCAUUUCUUUUUAUUGCGGGCUAGUUUCUGCUUAAUAUUUAAAGCAUUCAGGCUACGAGAGGAACAGAGUUGUCCUCACCUCUCACUUCCUCCUUAACUGGCAUUUCUUUCAUCCUAAGAGAUUACUAGGGCUCACCUAAGUUUUAAAAAAUAGGCUUACUCUGGUGCGUUAUUUCAAAGAAUUAAAUAUUCUGGAACAAUUUCCAGUACCUUUUGUAAGACCAAAGAACCAGUUCUAGUAUUUCCAUCCCAGGCAAACUAGAGGGGGUCUGUUUCAGCUGUGGACAAUACUGAUGUUCUUGGCAUUUUUACCCUGAAGAAUUUAUAGCCAUAUAAUUCAUGUUUUUCCAAAAAUAAAUGAUUUCCUGACUUUUUUUUCCUCUAGCAACAUCGGAGGUCUUCCUCACUUGCUUAGUAAGAACAUUCGUUUUAAGUACGUGAACCCAAGCAUUUUCCCUCUUUAUUUACAUUUCCUCAACAGAAUCUACUUUGUUCAUGAAGAGCACGGUAGAGGAGGGGCCUCAGGUCUUGUAACUGCUAUUUGAUAAUCCUGAAAUGUGCAGGCUUUAGAAUUCAAGGAAGUGAGGUGAGUGUCCCGCUCUGCACCCUUUACUCACUGGGUGCCUUUUAAAGAGUCCUUUCUCCUCUCUCUGCCUCCAUUUUUUCCCUUCUGUAAACUUCAAUGAAGAACAGGCUCUUUCUUGUAAGACUGUUCUGGAUAUGGAAGGAGAAAAUCCAAGGAGGGCAGUGAGCACAGUUUCAACAACAGAAAACUGCCUCCAACAUCAGCCAAGCCACAUCAGGUAAUUGGCCUGUGUAUAAAGGAAAUGCUGAGUUCACAGUAGAUGCUCAUGAAAUUAUUCCUGAUGUGCCAAGGGGGGCAAAGAAAGGGCAACCCCAUCACAUGAAGGCUCUUAGAGAGCACUAUGGAGGAGAUGGACUUAACCGGGGUGGAGUGUGAUGAAGCAGAUUAGGUGCCCUUGCAAUCUCAUGGAACCGAGGACAUCACUUCUACCAUCUUUUGGCUCUGCCCUUGCUGAGACAGGGCCACUGCUAAGAGCUCACAUACUUUUCUCCAAAAGCCCAUUUCCUACAAGCACAUGCUGUGGAAAGGUGAUUAGCCAACAGCAAAGUUCCCAGGUGUUUUUCCUUUUUGAUUUUUUUUUUUUUCUUUUUGGCUGCCCCCACAGCAUAUGGAAGUUCUUGGGCCUGGGAUUGAAUCCAAGCCCCAGUUGCAACCUAUGCCACAGCUGUAACAAUGACAGAUCCUUAACCCACUGCACUGGGCUGGGGAUGGAACCAGUGCCUCCACAGAGACAAGCCAACUCGUUAAACCACUGUGCCACAGCAGGAACUCCCCAGUUCCCAGGUUUAAUAAACAGUUUCUUUAGGGUGAAACUAAAUAGUAUAGCCUCAUUCUCUGUCUCCACUUCUCCUCACCGCACCCCCAACCUCUCAGAUAAAAUAACUUAUCCCAUAGUUAUUAAGAUACUGAUGGUGGAAGAAAUCUCAAUCCCACAUAACAGGAGAGCUAACUACAUAGGGACUGUGGGCACUCUUUUUUUUAUCCUACUUUUACUUUUUGAUUCACUUUCCUUUUGCAGACAAAGACUCCCCUGCCAAAGGCAGGGUAAAUAAACUCAGACACAUCCUGUCUCCUUUACAUCUUUGUUUAUCCAUAAACCGUCAAAGAUACAGAUGAAAAUCCACCAAAGUGUGCAUGGAGAAGUUAGACAAAGGCUAAAUGAGGCAGGAGCAUAAAAGCUCGAUGAUGGGGAAGAUACUAUCUGCAGUGAUGCCAAGCUGGCUCUAUGUGAUGACAUGAAUAUAGAUUAAAGAAAUCAACAAAAGAUGACAACUAAUAUAGUUAAGAAUGGAUUUGGUUAUGAAAGGAAGCGAUAAUGGAAAAAGGCAAUAUGAGAAAGGAUCUGUAUACUUACUGGGAAAGUGAUAACACUUUAUCACCACCAAUGUGCUCUGUUGACCGCCUACAGCCCUGAGGGGGUGGGGGAGGGGAUGCUAGAAUGCCAGGCUCAGUUGGAUGGAGCUGGGACAGGUGAUAUCCUUGUGAAAUUCUUAAGAGACUUGAGAAUGAGAGUGUGUUUGAAACCUGGCUCCUCAUUUACCUUUUCCCUUUAACUGGGUGACCUUUAGCUACUCCAAACCUCACUUUCCUUGUGUAUAGAUGAGAUAAGUUAAUAUCUACCUCAGAGGAUUAUUUAAGAUUUGUUGAGGUAAAGUAUAAAAGUGCUUGAUAGUGUUUGGCUCAGAGGAACUUCCAGUAAGAGUUAGCUGUUACUUUUUUCUUUUUAUGGCAGCACCUAUGGCAUACAGAGGCUCCUGGGCUAGGGAUCGAAUCUGAUUCUUAAUUUACUCAGCAGGGCCAGGGAUUGAACCUGUAUCCUCAAGGACACGAUGUUAGGUUCUUAACCCAUGGAGCCGCAGUGGGAAAUCCUAUGAUACUUUCAAUAUAGUAAUAAAGAUUAUGAGUCAAAGGGCACAUUGCACUCAGUGUUGCCCCAUUUUUGCCACUAUGAAACUUCUUAUUCCAAGGCAUCCCACAAGGUUAAUGUUCUGCAGAAAACAAUUUGGAAAAUGCUACCUUAAGUAAAACCAAAGCAUUGGGUUGGAGGGCUGGGGUUUAGGUGGGAAAUAGGAUGUAUGCCUUGAAUAUCCUCAUUAGAAAGGUAAGACUUCUAAAGUGGUAUUUGUGGCAAUUCCUCUAGCAUUUGGAAGAUCGAGUCUGGGGUCAAGAAGGUCUUCUUUAUGCUGUCCUCAUUUCUGUGGAAAAUCAGAUUUCAUUUCCAUCAUGCCUGCCUAACAGUAGUUUUUCUGGGACCUAAAUGAAAACAAGGACUGCCUGCUCAAAUUGGUUACAAGAUUUGCAAAGCACUGUUUUCUCUUUUGACCUCUACCCCGGCAGCAGGCCUGCAUCUACACUACGCUGCUCCUGGGUCAGAAUGUCCCCUCAUGUCCCAUGAGCACAGAGCUGUCACAUACCCUUGGGAAGGGACUGGAGCCUGGAAGAAGCAUCUGGAGAAGAAGAAACUGUCUGCAAGGCUGUGGAUGUUUUAUGAUCUGGAAGGGAUGGAAAAUUCAAGGUACAGGCUUGCAGCUUAUGUUCCACUCCCCUCCCCCCAGUCCUCUUUUUUUAACACAAGUCUCAGCAGUGAGACUCAUUUUCCACGACUCCCAAAGUGGUUGUGCAGUAUAUCUGUUAAUUUAAUCAGCUUCCUCCAUGGAGGCCACCUUCUCUAAUUGCAUUCUUGUGAGGGAUGAUAGAUAUGACAAAAAAGAUUUCAUCUCUAGAAAGGAAGCCAGUCUCAUCACUGAUACUAGUAAUCAAUCUCCCAUCCCCCCAAAAAUAGUGCAUGAGCCUCAGGUGCCACUUGGCAUUGGGCACAUCCUGUCUCAGGUCACAUUUGUUUACUAGAGCAUCAUCUCUUUCUCCUCCUUCUGGGGCCAACGAUGAGAAAGUGAAGAGCCUGAAGUGAAAAUGGAGUGUCUACAGCACUACCUGGGCCAGUAAUAACGACGAGGAGGCCAGUGCGGAAGGAGUUGAGUGGUCAAGGCAAGGGUAGAAGAUGUAAUCAGAGAGGGAGCACCAAUGAUAUCAUUGGCUAUGUGGAUGGUGUCCUUAGAGCUGGAUGGGACACAGACUGCAUAACUGUAUUCAGUGGCACUGAUUCAACAACAUAUACUGGAAAGAAAAUACAGAAAUAAGUAUCAUGGCGGAACCCAUAUGCCCACAGCCGGCACCCCGUCGUUUUCUGAGUUGCAGUGUGAUGAAAUGCUGCUGGCAACAUCUGCUUAGUGAGGCAGGAGCCUCCUCCUCUCAAGCAGCCCCUGCAUCUGUUCAACCCCCCAAGAGAGAAUGAAAGAGAGAAAACCAACUCUACUGACAGAAGGAAGAACAGGCCUCGGUGGCAUGAAAAAAUCAAAGCAAGGUUUUGAAAUCAUUUCUUUGGUAGUUGGAGCAGACAGAUGUAGAGAAGCAGUUCUUGAAGAACCACUUGCAGAUGUCAGAAAACACAAGGUUUCUGGAAGCUGCACAGAAGGGCUGCUCUUUCACGGAGGAACAGUGGCACCCUGGGCAUGAGGGGCCAGAGGUUAAGCAUCAUUUUAGGGUGUGUUUGGGGGAACUGUUUAUAAAUUUACCAGAGUCUGGUUCUCAAUUUGGCAAUCGCUGUUCUCCUGAGUGAUCCCCUCCCCCAUGUCUGACGUCAUUCCCUCGCACUACACUUUCUCUUUCCCAUGAAGAUCAAGAGUGCAGUGGUCUGAGAGGACUUUGCUUGUGGAAUGAAGGUCUCUCAGCUGACAGUGUACUCCAUUCUCCCUCCAGGAUCCUGAGAACAGCCAUGCAGUCAUGUCAAGUCAUCCAUCUAAGAGUCUGUUCCUGAAAGCGGUUGAUAUCAGUGGAUGGUGGAGGCUGGAUUACCUCAUGGUUUCUUCACAUACAUAUCUGCUGCAUGGCUGGAAUACAGAAGAGCUAGAAGCUAAGGCAGGUCUGUCUAUCCUCUUGUGUCUAACCUGGGCUUCGCCACAGCAUAGUGGUCUUGGGGUUGUUGAACUUUGUAUAUGGCUGCUGGCUUCUCCCUUAAGGAGUGUUCCAAGAGGCAGGAAGGAAAAGCUGCCUAUCUAUUAAGACCUGGGCCUGAAAAUAGAAACAGUGUCCCUUCUUCCAUAUGUUCCUGCUCAAAAAAAUUUCUGAGCUCACACAGAUUCAAGGGGAGGAGUCACAGACUUGCCUCUCAAUGGGAGGAAUGCUGAUAAAUUUGUGGCCAUGUUUUGUCCACCGCAAAAUGUGAAGCAUACACAUACACACAGAGUAUGUAUACCAGGUCUGGAUAUAAUCUUUCAGAUAGAAUCUACAGUCAUAGCAACUAAAUGCUACCUUCAUUAUCUUAUAGGGAUGUCCUGCAAUCUUUUCAUGUACGUAGUGGAAGAUAGCACCUGGCAAGUGUUAGGUGAAAACAGUGAAGAGUGACCAAUAGAAGCAAUGAAAAGAAUCAUUAACUUCCCUGUCAGAGGCAUGAGUCAUCCUCCAUCUGUUGAGCACAGGAGGAUUGCAGGAAGUUGCUCAUGAUCCUACCAAGGCAAUCAUUGUGAGCUCAAAUAGAGAGAGGGUGGCCAGGAAGACUCAUCUCAUGGCACCUGCAGGGGGUCCUGGGUGCUUUUGUGUAAAAUGUGGCACCAACUUCAGGAACAGGAUAUGCCAGUGUGACAGUGAGUCAGCAAGUGAAACCAGGGCUGCUCAAGUUGUGACGUCUGCAAAAGCUAGGAGAAAAGAAAUUAUCCCAGUGUCCCAUUCCCCCCAAAGGAAGAGCAAAGUUUCAUCUCAGGAUGUUCACAGGGAGGGGGAAAAACAGCUAUUUUCAUAUAAAAGUAUUAUUGGAUUCUUUUAAGGAUAAGGAUAGACCCACAAUUUUUCUUGAAUUAUAUUGAGAGGAAAAAGUGAAAAUAAGCCAAGCUAAGAAAGUAAUAUAUUAGAUUUGAAAGUAAUUUAUUAUGACCAAGUUGGGUUUAUCCCAAGUAUGUAAAGUUACUAGACAUUACAAAACCUUACUGAUGCCAUUCCCCCAUGAACAUAUUGUGGUAGCUGGUCUCUAAAGAUGGUCUCUUGGAAUCUUGUAUAGUCCCUCUAGCACUGACUCUGGCCUGCGAUUUACUUUAACCAACUGAAGAGGGCAAAAGUGAUGCCAUGCCAAUUUCAGGAAUAUGCCUUAAGAAUGCCUGGCUGCUCCAGCUUUACCCUUUGGGCCACCAUGUAAUAAAUCAACUACCCAGAGAUCUUAUAAAGGGUACAUGUGGAGGCCACACGGAGAGAAGCCCUGAGACUAUGUGGGGGGAGACAGGACCAGCCGUCCUGGCAUCCCAGCUGCACUGGGACUUCAAAUCACCUCCUAGGAGAUGCCAUCUAGGAUGUUUCAACUUCCAGGCUGAGCUUCCAGAUGAAUUCAGUACUGGAUAACAUCUCACUGCAAGGGCAUGAGAGUGUCCAAACAAGAAUGGCAGAGGAGCCACAUUGCUGAACCCUCUCAACACACAAAAUUGUAAGAGAUAAUAAAAUAGUAGUCUUUUUUUUGGGGGGGGGGUACCUGCAGCAUGCGGAAUUUCUUGGGCUAAGGGUCAAACUUGCAUUGCAGUUGCAACCUGCACGACAGCUGCAGCCACGCUGGAUAUUUAACCCACUGAGCCACAAGGGAGCUUCCUAAAAUGUUAGUCUUUUAAUCCACUAAAUACUGGCAUGGUUUGUUAUGAAAUAAUAGACAAAAGAGAAAAUUCUAAGAUUAUCUUAAAAAAUGCAGAAGUGCAGAAAAACCACUUGAAAAAAAUUGUACAUUCAUUCAUGAAAAAAAAAAAAAAGAUAACCUCACAGCAAACCAGGAAUAGAAGGGACCUAACUUCCUUAAUUUGAUAAUAGAAAUCUACAAAAAAAAUUCAGUGAUCAUACUUGAAGAUGUAGUCUCGCUUUGAGAACAAAAAAAGACAAACUUGCCCACUAUUAAACUUCUAAUCGGAAUUACACUGAAGGUUUCAGUCAGUGCAGUGAGGCAAAAAAAAUAAAAAGCAUGGGAACUAGAAAGGAAGCAAGAAAUUUGUCACUUAAAAAUGAUAUGAUUUUAUGACACCAAAAAAAACCUACAGAUAUAUUUUUUACAAAUAUAUAAUGAGAAAAUUAAAACAUGUUUUCUAGAUUUAAUAUUAAUAUGAAAAAAUCAAUUGUACUACUACAUAUACCAGCAAACAAAAAUGAAAACUGGUAAAAAUAGCAUUCAUGAUAGCAUCCAAAUACAGAAGAAUAAAGGAGUUAAGACUUCUACUGAAUAAAUUAUAAAAUAGAACCAAUGGACAGUUAAAAGAUGUAAAUAAAUGGUCAUAGAUUUAAAGCCUCAAAAUUGUAAAGAUAUAAAUUCUCCUCCAAUAUAAUCCCAACCAAAUGGUCAAAAUUUUUAACAUAUGAUAAGCUGAGUAUCAAAUAACUAUGGAACUGAAAAGGAUGAAUAAGAUGAAUAAGAGCCAAGAAAAACAGCAACAAUUUGGGAGGCAUGCCCCACCAGGGAUCAAGGAUUACUAUGAUGUGAGAAUUAACUAGAUCAGGGAUAGGCAAACAGACCAGUCAAACAAGAUAGCAAACCCACAAACAGACUUAUGCAUAUAAUAUGGGUAUUUACUGUAUGACAGAGGUAUCACAGUGCUUUGGUAGGGGAAGGACAGAUUUCAAUAACUAUUGAAGGACAAUUUGGGUUGCCAUAUUUUUUUUAAAAAGAAAAAACAAUACCACACCUAACAUCACAUAGACAAUGAUUCCAUUAGUUUAUAAUCCAAAUAGGAGAGGAUAAACUAUAAAACUUAUAAAAUAAUGCAGAAAGAAUAUUUUCAUGAGUGCAAAGUAGAUAAAAAAAGGAUGCCUUAAACAAAAUACAAGCAACCAGAAGGAAAAUAUUGUCUAUUUCAUUACAUUAAAAAAACUGCUUAUUAAAACAUACAAUUAAAAGAUUAAAAAGAAAAAGCAUGGAUUAGGAAAUACAUAUAACCAACCAGGAACUUAUUUUCAAAAUAUAGAAGAACUCUCCCAGGACAGUGAAACAAAAAUAGCCAAUGUAAUAUAAAAACACCUGCAAAAGUUUCGUUUUUUUGCUUUAAAAAAGCUAAAAUUCAAAUGACCAAUAAAUAUAUGAGAAGGCAUUCAAUCUCAUUAAUAAUCUGACAUACACAAAAAACCAAAAUGAAAUACUAUUACCUGAAUACCAGAUUCACAAAAACUCUUAUGUUCUGAAAAUGCCUAAUGUUGGGAGAGUGUAUAAUAUUGGGAAUCCUCGUGCCCAGCUAGUGUGAAAAAUAUAAUCACUUAUUUUGUCAUUGUGUACUCAAAUCAAAGAUAUAUCUACCCUAUGAUUCAACCAUUUCAAUCUUAAGUAUAUAUCUUAGAGAAAUUGAUAUGUAUAUGCACAAGAAUUACUGAAAACUCUUUGUAUUAGUGCAAAUCUUGGAUGAACAUGCUGAGUAGAAUGGAUAAAUUAUGAUAUAGUCAUACAAUCAUAUGCCCUGCCCCACUGUAAAUGAACUAUGUGGAUAAACCUUGCAAAUGUACAGAGAAUCAAAGAAGUCAGGCACGAAAAUAUGAUUCUAUUUUUAUAAAAGUUCAAAAACAGACAUUUUGGAAUAUUCAUCCAUAUUCACUAAAACUAAGUAGAAAAAAAUAGCAAUCACAAUGGUGGUUAUUUCCAAGGGAGCCUGAACAACUGUGAUAGGGAGGGGGCUCAUGGGCUGCAGGCAAUGAUCUUUUCCUGGCCCAAGGUGGUAGUUAAAUCAGUGUUCUCUUUUCUUUUUUUUUUUUAUUGUGAUAUAGAUAUACCAUAAAAUGUACCAUUUUAACCAUUGUUAACUGUACAGAUCUGUGGUCUUAGCUAUACUCAUAUUAUUCUCCAACCACUGCUAUUCAUUUCUUACAAUUAUUCAACUAAUGGUAAAAAAGUUUUAUAUAUUUUUCUGCACAUUCAUUAUAUAUCUCACAAGAAAUUAAGCCAAAAUAUUACCAACUCAGGGGGCAUGUAUGUGAAGGUUUGGUUACAGAGGUAUUAACCAUAAUAUUGUUUGUAAUAGGAAAAAAAUCUGAACCACUGAACCACUGGUUUGGAUUACAAGAAAGGAUGGAUCAAAUCCAUCAUCACAUAGAGAGCCACAGAAGGGAGUUCACGCAGCCUCUAGAAAUGAUAUCAUAGAAGAAUAUCUCAUGGCAUCUAAAGACAAUUGAGGAUCACAGUAAUGUGGGAAAAGAUACAGUACAUUAUGUAAAAAUAUUCCAAUGCCUUAAAAUAAACUACAAAUAUUUAUACAAGGAAAAAGACUGGGAGAAAUAUAAGAUUAACUCUGUAUUUGGGUGAUGAUUUUAAGAGUAAUUUUUGUUUUCUUUGUUUUGCUCACUUGUAUAGUUUCAGUAUUGAGCAAUGAAGAUGGAUUAUUUUUAAGGAAAUAAACAGGAGAUAAUAUAUUUUAUUGGAAAACAACAACAACAACAUCCUAGAGAUCUCAAAAAAAGGGAAAAAGAACCCUAGUAUUGAUUAGGCAAUAAGUAUGUUAAGAAAAUAGCUGGAAUCCUACCAGUUCCUAUUUAUCCAUUUGAAUAUAAUUUUUCUCUGUCAGUUACCUUCUUUCUACCUGGUUAUCAUUGUUUCCAGAGCCCUAGUUCUGAUAGUAAAAUCAAAAUCUAGCUGUGUGCUUUGGAAGCAAUAGGACAGGUAGGGGUGUGUGUGUGUAUGUGUGUGUGUGAUCCUAUACAACAGCCUGCCCUAAUUGAAAGGAAGUGAAAAGCUCCAAAUGUUGCAGGGAUGGCUGAUAGAUCAUCCUUCAGUUCUAAUCCAUCUGGUCUACUGCCUCUUACAGAAACCAAAAGAGGAAAAAUGAGGUGUAUAUGACAUAGGAAAUGAGGGCAAUCAUUUGGAUGAUAUAGUACCACCUGCCCAUAAAAUGUGUGAGUUGGGAUGGGCAGCAAAAUAUAGGGCACCAGUUACAGCGUUCGGAUCUGACUUCACACUGGGUAGGUAGGUACCUGAAAACAUCAAACAAUGAGUGAGUGCAGAGGACUCCACAGUCAACACACAAAGAUUCCCAGGAACUGGGGUGGGUUCACCCUAUGCAUCCCUGUUAGCUGAUCAGAAUGAAAUGUCCUGAGUGAUAAGUUGUGGCAUAGUUUCCCCACAUUAUUGAUGCCCUCAGACUUUGGGGCAAUGGCUUCCCUCCCAUCUGAGCCAGUUCUUCCUAAAUUUACAGAAAAAUUCAAAGAAUAUUUUAUGGCAGGCAAAGAAAGUAAAAAAAUCAUGAAAUGAUGAAAGAUGUUAAUGAUCCAUUAUGGAUAUGUAUGGCAUGCAACUAUAAUAAUUUUAAUUAUAUAUGUCUAUAGGUAUCAUGACAUAUGGGAAAGUACUGGAGCUACUAUAGAUCAGCUUCACAUUGAAAAAAAAGAAGAGUUUGCAGUGGGUAGCGGGGUGGCAGUGAGCUGCAGAUGGGGGUAGAGGUUUUAGUACUAUUUUUCAAUGGAAGUUGGACUACUGGUAAUAGAUGUGGUGUAAAAUAAGGGUCAAAUGAAUUUGGGGAAACUUAAGUUUAGUAAAAGUAUACAUGGUUUCAGGAAUUCCUAGGGUCUUUAAUUAAUUAAAAUGCAUUGUGGCCCUGCUAAGCAUGUAUAUCUACUACGCAAGUAAAACAAUGCGGAGUUAUUGUGCAAAAUUUUGUGACACAGAAUAUCAUAUAAGGAACAUACUUCGGGAAUUUUUUUAGUAAAGGAAUCCUUCUUUUGCUGUUUUAUUUACUCAGGAGAGACAACAUGCUUUUUUUUUUUUUUUUUUUUUUUGCAUGGACUUCACCCAGUAUGCGAUAGGGAAGGGCUCUGUCUCCACACAAUGCUUCAAUACUUCCUUCUCUGAUGUCCUCACCCUGGCUUUUCUCUGUAUUGAUGGCUAGUGAUAAACCGGAUAAAGCUCAAACUACUAACAAGUAUCAGGGGUUUUCAUCAACCAGACUAAGUCCAUAGAUUUUGCAAAAUGACCUCCCAGAACUCAGAGGUAAUCCAUUGCUGGAACUGUUAAUACAUGGCCAGAGAGUGCACUUUGUCUUUGUUUCCCAUGUAUUUUCUCUCCCAGAAGAAAAAACAAAUAGCUCAAAAAAAAAAAUAAAUAGAGGAGUGUGUAGAAAUAUCUUAAAAAUGGCAUCUUUGCAACUUUGCCAAAUAAACGAAGAAUGAAGGAAUAAUUUAUCUAUGUACACGUACAUGCUUGCCACGUAAAACUGUCAUUGUCUAUGGCACUCUUGAUUUUCUUUGAAAAUAAUAGGAUAUAAAUAUUCAGUCAGAAGGAUUGUCAUAUAGAUGGAAUUAAGUUCUAAUAAGGACUAAGUUAAGAACAUGGCUAAGAAAUACAGAGUCUUCAUAACUUCACUUUUUUCUAAACUUCCAAUUACCCUCCCCUCUCUUUUUUGGCAGCAGCAGAAACCCUAGCCAUAGGAGCAAAAUUCAAAUGAAGUCUGCACGCCAAAAGAAAUAGAACUUAGCGUUUACUCUCUGCUCCUGCUUCCACUUGGAAGGUGUCUUUUCCCUAAAAAACAUUUAUAAGGAUAUAAAAGUGGCUUUCUAUUUUUGGCCAGGAGAAGAAAAUGAAAAACAAUGGAUUAAAAAAAAUAUUAACUUUUCCAGACGAAAUAAUGUGCGAUUUUUUGCGGUUUUUCCAACUUUUGAAACCGAGUCUGGUAAAAUGCUUAAUUCAUUCAGCCAGUGAAUCACCUUUCCUUUGAGGGAAUAUUAAUGCCAAGCUAAAAUUUCUCCGUAUGAGGAAGGAAAAAUAUAUAAAGCAGCAAAGCUGGGAGUAGAUUGGAAAAUUCAGUCAAUUCUGUCUCUACCUCAUUAAUUCUGCCCUCAUCAUUUGGAGGUCCUGUGGGCAGUAGCAGUGCAUCAUUGAAAUGGUACCUUCAGGUGUUUCACUGAGACAUAAUUAAAAUUGAUGCUGUCAUCUGGUGUUUCCUUGUGCCAUUUGUCUAACUCCUUGCAAAUGGCAAAACAGAGCUCUUCAUUAUGAUUUUGUUUCUCUUUAAGAAACUGCCUGAGAUUUCCUUGAAAUGCUCUGGAAAACACUUUAGCCAACUGGAAGACAACUUAGGGGUCACCAAGUUCUCUUCAGGGAUUUCCUUGGCAAUAUAGCCAAUGAGCACAUUUGAAUGGACUGGCUAUAACAGGCUGUUUCUGGGCAGGGAAAACAAAUCCUAAUCAAUAAGUUGAUUCAUUUAAGUUUUAACAUCAUUUGGUAUAAUUGCCAUCAAUACUAUGAGCUCACCAUCUCUUCUGAAUGGCAGAUCAAGCUGGAGCAUCUGGAAAAUCAGCAGGACCUUGGAAUUUGCUGGUGGAAGUUAAGUUUCAGAAGGGUCACAACUUGUGAGCUACUGUGAAGUGGCAUCAGGAGGCUUGUCUGAAAUGGGAACAGAAGAUUGUGGCACAGGAUGUGGAUGGUGUGGUGGAUAACAAUACGGCCAGCUGAGGUGGACAGAGGAUGUUUAGGGAAGGGGUGUGCCUUUUGUAAGUUCCUACACUGCAAGGUUCAACUGGAUACAGAUUUCUAUGUCCACCUAACCUUUCUCACAGAUGUAAUCACACAUAAGGGAGCACAAAAUUAGGCUUGAACUAUUCCCAAAAGCAUCAGUGAUGCUGACCCAGAGCUGUAUUUUCAAAACAACUCUUCAGCUGACUGUACGUAGUUCAUUUUCCUAUUUGCCUAUGCCCUUAUAAAGAGUACCCCUUGACUACAUUCUUCUCAAUGACUGAAUUUAUUUAUGAAUUGUGUCUCCUGUUUCCUGUCAUAACAUCUAGAGAGAGAAUGAAGGGCAGUCUGGAGGCAAGAGUUCUGGUAUUAUGGUAGGAGGUUUGAACCUGAUAGGAAGAAUGGAUAAGCAAUGAGGUCCUGCUGUACAGAACAGGGAAUAUAUUCAAUCACUUGUGGUAAGGACAUGAUAGAAGAGAAUAUGAGAAAAAAAGAAUAUACACACUGGGUAUACACAAGAAUAUACACUGGGUCCCUUUGCUAUACAGCAGAUGUUGACAGAACACUGUAAAUCAACCAAACUUUAAUUAAAGAGGUUUUUUUAAAAAAGGAAUUCCUAUCAGAAGCAGUUGCCAAGGAACUUUGAAAGAUAGUAAUGUGUCUUAACGCAAUUCUAGUGGCUUUAUGUUCUUUAGUAUUUUACCUUCCCCGCCACAGCCUGCCCCUCCUCAUCCUCUGUUAGAUUCAACAGCUCUGUAUUACUGAGGUUUGGGGAAGGAAAGAGAGAGUGGUGUAUGGGACAUGAAGAGGGGCAGGAAGCACAAGGGUCACCAUCACCAAGAAAAAAACAAGAGACACAAAAACCCCUUUCCCCAGAAUCAACCUUUGAAAGACACUAGGCACUUCCCAUUCUGCUACUAUGCAUGUAACUCUGUUGGGGCGAUUUGGUUGAUAGAGACCUGGACCCCACAUCCCAGAAAAAGAAGAUGGUUUGUAUUUCUACAUUUUCCACAAAAGAAAGCUUUGCAACAAUAUUUUCCAUUUCAAAGGCACUGUUCUGCAAGUCACAAAAACUGAAAAGUGAAAAUAUUCAAUGUCUCCCCUCAACACGUCCUUUUACUUUUUUUUCUAACCUGAGUCUGAACACAAAUAUAACCUAGUCUUUGCCCAACAAUAUUAGCCAUAGAAGCACAUGCACAGGAAGGGAUUAUUAAUCCUCAAAAAAAGCCUUGGCAGAAUUUGAUGAAAGCUGAAAUGUAUUUUCACAGAUGGUUGUGCUACGGUGAAUUUGAUUUGAAAAAUAUUAAACAAAGCAAUACCCCCAUUUCUGUUUUAUUCCCUGAAAGCAAUUAUUACAUGAAAAGGUAGACAGGCAGGACACAGUUAACAAACAAAGACUAAAGAGUUGUCAUCGGCUUAGAAAUGUUCUGGAAAAUAAAUGAGGGCCACUUGCCAAUAAGAUGACUGUAAAAUACAGAAAUGAAAAAUCUAUAUUGCAAACUUACACAUACUUCUAUCCUACAUCACAGUUUGAUGAAGCAACAGAUAAAUGACCCAACAUUGAUUGUUUUUACAGGAAUAUGACAAGCCCCCAAAGAAGAGAAACAGAACAUCUCUCCAUUCACAUAAAAAGCAAAUUACAGAUGGAGCAGAAAAAAAAUUCACUACUCUCAGAGCAAGAUUCAAUUAAAAAAAUGUGUCUGGCUUUGACAGGGCAAAUUCCAGGCGUAGUCUAAUUUCAUAGAAGUUGGUUUUAAAGGAAAGACUUGAGUGCUACAAAAGCUUAUGGAACUUUUCACGGCUUGUCAUAAUUUCUCUGUAAUACUAAACAAGGAUUUCCGGAUCCUGAGCUCAUAUUUUUCCUCUAACUGAUCUUGCAAGGUGGUGUUUGGCUUUGGACAGUGUGUUUCCUCUCUGAAAAUCACACUGAAUAAUAGCUUCAUGGUAAAUAUUAAAUAAUAAGUCAUACUGCCUUACUGGAUUGUAUACCCUAAUAUAUCAUGCUUUACCAAGGAUUAUAUGUAUGUACUUGUGUAUGAAAACAUGUGGUUAAACAGCAGAUGAAACUGUGGAAGGAAGACCAGAGGCAGCUCGUCAUGUCUCAUGCAGUGCAACAAGGACAGCACAAAUGGCAUUAUUUAAGCAGAAGGCAAUUCUGACUCUGGGACAUCUAUUUCCAACCACAGCAACACUAGGCAAGAGCUCUUGUUUUUGUGUUGUUCAAAGGUUGAAGACAAUACAAAGAACCUCUAAAAGUCACAGGAGUUUUGAGGUAAAAAUUUCUGCAUGUUCCCCUCCGUCUUGUCACCUUUCAUCCACUCCGUACAGGGUAUCAUUAAGCAUUUCUAGACAUCAAGUUCUGGAUCUUGUUAUAAUGCUCAGAAUUGCUGUCAGUGGACAGGAAAAGAGCUCCAGUCAUGAGGCUUGAGCUGUGCGAAUAAAUACACCCAUUUGGGUGUUAUAAAGCUGUUGCAUUUGUCUUAUCAUUUCAUUCUUCAAUUGACAUGGUGACCCUCAGAAAACCAAAGAAGACAUUUCUUCAGUUCUUUACUCUCAACCUCAGGGCAGCAUGGUCCUUAUUCUCUGUCCCCCUUUGCCCUUUAGAGAUGAUUGCCUACAUUUGGGUGCCUAUAUUACAUAUGUUUCAACCUGUUCUCUCAACAUUAACUGUUUGGGAUUAAAAUAGUUUCUAAGAACCAUUUUCAGGCUUUCCUUGAACUGCUGCCAGUCUUUGGCUCUGCACAGAAAGGAAAAUGCUGAGCAUUAAAAACAAAAUGGGGAUUAGUCAGAAGGAGAUAAUAAAUAGCACAUUACUACAUGUGGCAGAACCAAAAAAAAAAAAAGAAAAAAAGGAAAAUACAGCAUGUUUGUAUUUUAGUGGUUUAACCAUGACGAUCGUUUGAGGUCUUAGGAAAGGUAAGAGAAACAGAGAUCUGUGUCAAGAAGUAAGAUUGGAGAGAAGCUUUACCACAGAAAUCAUCUCAGAUCAUGGACACUGUUUAUGGAACCAGACUGAGAGUCUGUUGAAGCGUUCCCCCAGUGCAUUAUUUGCAAUGCAAAUCAUAAUUAAAGAAAUAAAUGAUGUACUCAAUCGUGAUGAAGAUGAUAUCAAAGCUAGGAGUUUGAAGAAGGUCUGCAGGAUGCAGUUGUGCUAAUAUUAUGCUAAUGAAGGGGUGGGGCAAAUACUAUCCAGUCCGUGGUCUGAGUCUCUGCAGGUUGGGGUGGAGGGUGGCCUGGCUGCCACAUGGGAAUGGAGAAACAUAGUGGUAAAAUUAAAAAAAAAAAUAACCAUCACCACAACUAAUAUUUUUUUUAAAAAGCGUGCCCGAUGAGGUUGCUGUGCUAUGUACAUCCCCACCUAAGAAAUCAAGGUACAAAGAGAGCAGUGGAGCAAUUUUCCGAAUUUAUAUGGUUGAAAGACGGCAAAUCAAAGAUUUAAACCACCACAAUGCAGCUCAUAAGAAUCCCUAUUCAACCCUACACUCUCCUGCUGGCAUGAAUGGGCUGGGAAAGUUGAGGCCUGGAUACCAUGUACCACCAUAGAGGCAGGAAUUUAUCAACUGAUCAUGCACUUGUUCAGAUGGUCAACAAAUGCAUAUUAAACACCUACCAUGUGCCAAGUGCUCAUGCUGGAAAUUGGGGAUUUAAUGACAAACAAUCAGGUGAGUUCUCUGUUCCUUUGGAAUUUGUAAUCUGGCUUGGGAGAACAAUGGAAAAAAUUCAGGCUGCCUACAAAAUUUUGGAGGGAAGCAUCCUAAAGUGGGUCUGGAAGUUUAACAUGCUUCAAAAUUGCCAAAGAGGGCUUAUUAAAACAUGAAUUGCUAUCCCUAUAGUUUCUGAUUUGGUAAAUCCAUGUUUGGGCUCAAGAAUUUGCAUUUCUAACAAAUUCCCAGAUGAGGCUGGCCACCGCUGGGGUAGGAGCUAUGCUUUAAGACCAUUGCUCUAAGGGUUAUGUGGCUGGUGGAGAAAUAUUUCUUCAUGUUGUACUGUGCAUCUGUUGAGGGUAAUCUGUAUUAGAAAAAAGAGUCACUGACCUAUAUAGAUAUAAUUUGUGGCCUGCCAGAAAUCUCUCACCCUGCUUUAAAACAUCAACAUGUUCCCUAAUAUGGGUAACAGUCCACCCCCCAACAGCCAUUCAACAUGGGAUCUGACAAAAUAAGACAUAAAUUAGCCAAGUAUGGAGACCAUAGAGCUGAAACAAAAAGCAAAGCAUGAGGCCAGAGUGUGAUGUCUUGAGUGCAUUUUUGAGGCCUGGGAAAGUAAUACUUAAGAUAUUGAUGGAGUGCUAAUGGGUAAAAGAGAAUCACUGGAGGGGAACUUUUUUACCCAUCAAUCCAAGAAACACACUUCAUUCUUAUAGUUACAUUAUCAUUUAAUUGACAGGAUAAUUAAAAUUGCCUCCAAUCUCCUGGAUCUGGUUUCAAUAUAUGUUUAAAAGAGAAAAAAAAAAAAAAAAACCUGAGUAUUCCUUGUCUAUAAAA
This is a non-coding RNA of Sus scrofa (pig), 16970 nucleotides long. The record is from RefSeq and is a predicted model, not a curated record. NCBI's taxonomy places the organism in Eukaryota, Metazoa, Chordata, Mammalia, Artiodactyla, Suidae.